RNAcentral lists this ribosomal RNA (253 nucleotides) under uncultured bacterium. RNAcentral describes it as "partial 16S ribosomal RNA". It matches the Rfam family "Bacterial small subunit ribosomal RNA", at positions 524 to 776 of the family's 1533-position model. The record is from RNAcentral.
UACGAAGGGAGCUAGCGUUACUCGGAAUCAUUGGGCGUACAGCGUGCGCAGGCGGCUUUAUAAGUCAAAAGUGAAAGCCUGGGGCUUAACCUCAGAAUUGCUUUUGAUACUGUAUCGCUAGAGUGUCAGAGGGGAUAGCGGAAUUCCUAGUGUAGAGGUGAAAUUCGUAGAUAUUAGGAGGAACACCGGUGGCGAAGGCGGCUAUCUGGCUGAAUACUGACGCUGUUGCACGAAAGCCAGGGGAGCAAACGGG